GGUUGGUAGUAAAUUUAAUGCAUUAUUCUUUCUAAUUUUCUAUUUCCAAUUUAACAUCCUGGUUAGUAUUCACACAGGAUAUCCAAUAGAAAUAGAAAUGAUUGCAAAGCUAGAAAAUAAUAAAACAUAUUUAAGUUUUCUGGUAUCUGUAUAUUCUUUCAUAAUAUUGGGAUAACAAAAUUUCCCUCUAUGACGUGUUGGUGUUACAUAAAUGAAAAAAAUGAUUUUUUGGAUUUUUUUUCUAUCUCUUAUGUGCUACAACUUCUCUCCUGAUACACAAUAGAGCAAUUAUCUGACUGCGAGACAUAACCGAAUUUUGACUUUUGUUGAUAUUUCUAUUUACAUUCUUUUAUCUAUUACUCUAAAUUUAGUCAAUUGUCUAUAUAUACACAUAUAUAAACGUCUAUAUUUUAUAUAUACACAUAUAUAAACCUCUAUAUUUUAUAUAUACACAUAUAUAAACCUCUAUAUUUUAUAUAUACACAUAUAUAAACCUCUAUAUUUUAUAUAUACACAUAAAUAAACCUCUAUAUUUUAUAUAUACACGUAUAUAAACCUCUAUAUUUUAUAUAUACACGUAUAUAAACCUCUAUAUUUUAUAUAUACACGUAUAUAAAACUCUAUAUUUUAUAUAUACAUAUAUAAAACUCUAUAUUUUAUAUAUACAUAUAUAAACUCUAUAUUUUAUAUAUAUACAUAUAUAAACUCUAUAUUUUAUAUAUAUACACAUAUAAACUCUAUAUUUUAUAUAUAUACACAUAUAAACUCUAUAUUUUAUAUAUAUACACAUAUAAACUCUAUAUUUUAUAUAUAUACACAUAUAAACUCUAUAUUUUAUAUAUAUACACAUAUAAACUCUAUAUUUUAUAUAUAUACACAUAUAAACUCUAUAUUUUAUAUAUAUACACAUAUAAACUCUAUAUUUUAUAUAUAUACAUAUAUAUAUAACCGUGUUUAUAUAUAUAUAGUGCAUCUAAGCUUUUCAUACAGUUUUAGAGGGGUAUUUUAAAAUAUUAAAUGAUUUUUAAUUUGAAUUUGAAGACUAUAAAUUGUCUUUCACACAUUUUCUUUUACAUUUCCUUCUUGUUGAGCUAAGCUGUUAGAUAUUGGUUUUUCUCAUAUAAAUUUUAAUUACAAUAAUAAUUACAUUUUUCAAAAACUGACUGGUUUUACAAUAUAAUAUUCCCAAGUAGUUAUACAUUCAUUCUUACAUAUUUAACUAUUUUUUUCUGACUAAGUUACAUAUUUAACUACUUUUUUCUGACUAAGAAUAUUACUUUUUUUCUGCUUAAAAAUUUUUUUUAUUAAGAUUAUAUAAUCUAAAAAAGACUUGAAAGUUCCAAUGCAGGAGCAGAUACAGGAAUCAUUCAAUAAAAUUGGGAUUGACAACAGGUAUAAGUUUAAAAGAGGUGUACUUGAAUUCAGAUCUUAAGCCAGGACCCGAAAUUAAAAUUAAACUGUAUUUGUUGAGCAAUUCUAAGACACAUAAACCAUAGGAAUUAGGAUAAAACCAUUCAGAAAGACUACUAGUUAAUUCAAUUGAUUUUCUGUUAAUAGAAAAUGCUAAUUAAUAAGAAUUUAUUUGUAAGAUCAGGCUUGAAAGUGAAUAUGUACUUACCCAAAAUUUCACAUUCCGUCCUACAUUAUCAUAUGUGUUUGCUUUUCUCUUUUCAACAAAGCUCCUGUUCACAGAGAGCUCAUGUCAUUUCUUUUGUUGAGUCCUGUCACCUUUGCCAAUAGUUUAUCACAGGGAUUUGAUAAAACAAUUUUAAAAUAACUCAGCUGGGUGUGGUGGCUCAUGCCUGUAAUCUCAGCACUUUGGGAGGCCAAGGUGGGUGGAUCGCUGGAGCCCAGGAGUUCAACAGCCUGGGCUGUAGCAGGACGAGCAGAGGACAAAACCUCACAGACACCGAGGAAGUGAAGGAAGUGGCUUUAAUCAACUGGAAGCAACAGCAGACUAAUGUCUCAAAAUCUGAGCUUCUCGAGUGCACAAUUUCUCUCCCUUUUAAGGGCUCACAAUGCUGAAGAUUUUACAUGAAAGGGCAGUGCUUGAUUGAGCAAUCUAGGGGGUAUGUGACAGGGGCUGCAUGCACUGGUAGUCAGAGUGAAACAGAACAGAACGGGAAGUUUCCCAAUGUCCUUCCAUACAAUGUCUGGAAUCUAUGGAUAACAUCAGUUGCUAGGUCAUGGGUUGAAUUUUAACUACCAGGUUAGGUCUGGCAGGCCCAGGUCUGGUUUUGGGUCUGGUUUUGGGUCUGGUGCCUGGUGCUGGGCUGCCUGCCUUUGGUUUUGCUUCCUUGUUUCUUCUUAAAACAGGUACUGAGCAUAAAACAACAUGGGGGUGUCUCUUUCUCUCUUCUCUCAUUUCCCCCCUUUGAGACCCUCACUUAUUUUAUUAGUGGGAGUUCUCACUUUCAUUUUCACUACUUAUGUCUUCCUGUGCAAUAGAUUGAUAGUGAUUCAUAUAAUAUACUUGUGCUGAAGCAUUCUGGUGAACUAGGGUAGCAAUGAAGCUUUUUAUCAUUUGAAGAAGUACAGGUAGCAAACAAGGGAGUAGUAAGCAGGUUCCUAUUACUAUUAUAACUCCUAUUAUAAGAGUUUCAAAUCCUCCUAUUGCUGGGAACCAAGUUCCAAACAUGGCCCCAGGAUCAAAUCCCUGCCACACUUGCACAGGUACAUGUGCCAGUUUUGUUAUAUCUUUAACUAUGUCUUCAGCUAAUUGCCCCUGAUAAUCUAUGUGUAGACAGCAAUUAGUAAGGUUAAAUUUUCCACAAACCCCUCCUUCAGCUGCUAGCAAGUAGUUGAGAGCUAGUCUAUUUUGGUAGAUAGCAUUUCUCAUCUGAGUCUCUUGCCGGACAAGAACAGUCAAGGCUGGACCGGUUUUAUUAGUAAUAAUUUCUGAAACAGCUUGUAACCAUAUGAUUUGGUUGAGCAUGUAGAUGGGGAUCUGAUAUACCUAUGAGCCAUCUUGUGCCCAAGUGGUGGGCCCCUAGUAUUGUAUAUUUCUUUCAGGGGGCCAUUCAUCAUCUUUCCUGUUACCUAUGGCUAGGCUUCGCUUUUCGCAGGAAGCAUAGACAGGGAAUCCUAGGAGUUUGCCUGUUUUUAUGGGCAGUAGGAAGAAAGAUGGUUUAAUACUGCCAAUUACACAACUACCUGUCCACUGAUCAGGUAGCUUAGCAUAGGCUCUAAGUCCACAUAUCCAGUAUAACACAGUAGGGGCUGUCCAGUCCCGGUGCAAUUCUGGAUGGGCCCAAAUGGCCUGUAAUCUUGGAUAUUUACUGAAUGGAUUUUUUUUUCUGUGUGGUUUGAACUCCACCAUGUAACUGUUUUUAUGGUACCAUUAUACAGUUUCUGUCCAAGACAACUAAGCAAUCCUACAGGAUGAGUGAAUUAUUUUCCUUCUCUAGCUAUGCAAUAUUGCCCAGUAACUGAGACUUUUAGAACCCAGAAAUUGUCAGGGUGGUUCUUUUGGGCUGGGAAUUCAUCAGGAACUGGGUCCGUAGGGACUAAUUCUCAGUCUUCCCAUGGCCAUUGAUCUUCUGUUACAGUUCCUCCACAGACAUAACAUGAAGUGACUUUUAAAGACUGUGCUACAUGCUCGGCUAAUUGCAAAAACAAAUUUCUAGUUUUUCCUGGAAUCUCAGGUACUGGCACAUUUAGUUCAUCAUAGAAAGUCUGAAAUACUGGCUCUGGAGAGCAUUUUUGAACCUCCCCUUUUAUUAAGAUAUUUACUCUAGGAUCUAGUCCUUUUCCAUCAAUGCCUAGAGAUACGUGCUCUCCUUUUUCCCACUUUGGGUCUGAGGGAUUUAUAAUUAUUAAUUCUAAAGGGUAGCAGCUUCCAUUUGUGCAGGAGGGGCUGCUUUUUCCUUUUUGGAGCCAAACAAUAUCUUUUUAAUCUUUUUUCCAAGUAGCCCAGAUGAUACAAGACCAGUACUGACACACAUUUGUACAUGAAUAUGAUUCAUGGCAGACAUACUUAUUUCCUGCUGUGUAACUCUUUUCCCAAUCUCUAGAACAGCAUCCUAGUCCUUGCUGAUUACUAUUAAUAGUGGCCCAAGUGUCAAAUUUUAGAGUUUCAUGUUUGGGGACCCCUCUUUCUUCUGUUCUAGCUAUUACUUUACUUGUGUCACCUAGAAAAGGACCAGUGCUUAGUCUUAUUUCAAAAACCGUGAUCAUGGGAGGUUCAGAGGGGUCAUAGCACACAUCUGGCUGAUCACUUCUUGGAUUACAUACUUUGUACUGAGUGUUAUUAUAUAAACAGGUUCCUUUUCGAGUUCCUGGGCACUCAUAAAAACUAUAGAACAAAAAGAUUGUCUUAACUUGUUGUCCUACCUCAGUGAUCUGAUGCAUGCACUGAAAGCAGUCCUCUGUGUGGGAAGAAGCAGUGGAAGCUUUUACCACACAAGUCCGUGUCAUGAGGAAAAUAAGUCCCACGACGAUUUUCCUCAUGCUUCCACCAUGUGUAGAUCAGUCAGCUUCUGGGUGUGACUGAAGCAGGGCUUGUGGUCCUCCUCAUGGUCACUUUACGGGGAUUGUCCAGGCUUGGUUUGGCCUCCCAGGUUUCAGUGGCUGCAGGCUUUAAGCAGCUGUGGUGAAUCCAGGCCGGGAUUCCUUCCACCUUUACAGCUGUGGGAGUGGUCAGGAUAAUGGUCUGGGGUCCUUUCCACUGUGCCCGCAAAGGGGCUACGUUCCAGUCCUGGAUCCACAUACGGUCACCUGGAGAAAAAGGGUGAACUGGGGAGAAUAAGCUGACAGGGUACCUCUCAUUUACCCAAGUUGCGAUUGUCUCAGUAAUUUUCCCCAAGGCCUGUAGCUGUCACUGCAAUUCAAUUUCACCCAACUCUUGGGGAGUACCCGGAAGUCCUCGCAGUAUAGGAGGAGGCCUAUGAUAUAAUAUUUCAUAAGGGGAGUAUCCUGUUUUCUUAAAGGGGUACACCUAAUUUUAAACAAUACCAUAGGAAGGGCCUGUAUCCAUUUUAAUCCUGUCUCUUGACAUACUUUCCCUAAACUAUUUUUGAUAGUCCGAUUCAUUCGCUCCACCUUUCCGGAACUCUGAGGUCGGUAGGCAGCAUGUAACUUCCAUGUGAUUCCCAGUACCUUUGCUGUCUUCUGUACUAAGUCAGCCACAAAUGCCGGCUCAUUAUCUGAGCCGAUCCAUAGAGGCAGUCCAAACCUAGGGAUGAGAUCUCUAAGAAGCACACGGGUUACUUCACCAGCUUUUGCAGUUUGUGUCGGAUAAGCCUCUACCCACCCAGAGUAAGUACACACUAGAAUCAGUAAAUACUUGUUACCUCCGCAUUAGGGAAUCUCUGAGAAGUCCACUUGAAGAUCUUCAAAAGGAGCUGCUCCAUAGGCUUGUAUGCUGGGAGGAACAGAGGGGCCUUGCUUUGCAUUGUGCUGUUGACAGGUAAUGCAUCGCUGCACUACUGUUUUAGUAAGAGCUGGCAAGUGUGAGAUGUAGAAGUACCGGCUUAACAGCUUUUCAAGUGACUCUUGGCCUAAAUGGGUAGUUUCAUGUACAGCUAGCACGACUGGGGCUCCUAGCAGCUAUUCUCCCAUCUGGUAACUUUAUCCAUCCUUCUUUUAUUGUUUGUCCUCCCUCUGCCUGAAGAAAGUCUUUUUCCUCUUUAGAAUAAAUAGGGACCAGAGCAGGUGUUUGAGGGAGUAGAGGGGCUGUGACUGAUGCCCGGUAGGGAGUCGAUGCUGCUUUUCAUGCCUCUGUGUCUGCUCGGGAGUUUCCUCAGCUCACUGAGGUGGAAACUCACUGGUGUCCCCUGCAAUGCAUGACUGCCACCUUUUGCGGUUUCCACACUGCCUCAAAUAAUUGUAGAAUUUCUUGUUGAUAUUUUAUGUCCUUUCCCCCAGAAUUUAACAGGGCUUUUUCUUUAUAUAAUGCCCCAUGUACUUGAAGGGUUAGAAAGUCAUAUCGAGAGUAAGUAUAAAUGUUUAUAGUUUUACCUUCACUGAGUUCUAGAGCCUGAGUUAAAGCAAUAAGUUCUGCUUUCUGGACCGAAGUGCCCUGAGGCAAUGACUUGGCUUCAAUAACAUUAUCCGAGGUUACCACCACAUAUCCUGCACAUCUUUCUCCUCGUGGGUUGAUGAAGCUGCUCUCAUCCGUGUAUAAGUCCCAGUCUACUGAUGCCCAUGACUGGUCUUGAAGAUCGGGUCUGCUAGAAUAGACUGAGUCCAACACCUCUACACAGUUAUGUUCAACAGGGCUGUCUGAUACUGGGAGCAAGGUGGCAGGAUUUAAAGUAUUAUAGAGUUCAGUGGUUAUGGAGGGGUUUUCACACAAUAAGCUUUGGUACUUGGUUAAUCUAGCAUUCGUUAUCCAAUGGUGUCCUUUGGUAUUCAUUAAAGUUACCACCACAUGGGAGGCCUUUAUAUUUAAGUUUUGCCCAAGAGUUAGCUUAUCUGCUUCUUGUGCUAACAGGGCUGUAGCUGCCAUGGCUUUCAGACAUGGAGGCCAGCCUUUUGAAACUCCGUCUAGCUGUUUUGAGAGGUAGGCCACUGGUCUUGGCCAGGGCCCCACAGUUUGAGUUAAAACUCCGAAUGCCAUUUUUUCUCUUUCUGACACAUAAAGUGUGAAGGGCUUGGUCAAAUCUGGUAGUCCCAGAGCUGGGGCUGACAUAAGUUUUUCUUUUAACUUACAAAAGGCUUGCUGUUGUAGAGGCCUCCAUUCAAAGGGCUCCCAUUCGCCCCCCUUUGUAGCCCCAUACAAUGGUUUGGCUAGCACAGCAAAGUUUGGAAUCCAUAAUCUGCAAAACCCCACAGCUCCUAGAAAUUCCCUUACUUGCCUUCUGGUUUUAGGUUCCAGUAGACUGCAGAUGACCUGCUUUCUUUCUGACCCCAGGCUGCGCUCCCCUGUCUGCAGAUCUGAGCUUUCUUCUUGGACACCUUAUAUCCACAGUCCUUCAGGUGCUGAAGUAGGGCAUCCAUCCCUUUUGCACACCCGAUGCCACGAAGUGUCCCAGCAGAAGGUCAUCCAUAUACUGGAGCAAGACACAGCCUAGGCCUUUAGCAGGAAACUUCUGGAGGUCUUGAGCCAAUGCCUCCCCGAAGAUGGUGGGGGAAUUUUUGAACCCUUGGGGAAGCUGAGUCCAAGUGUACUGAGUGGUGACACCUGACCCCGGGUCUUGCCACUGAAAGACAAACAGCUUUUGGCUCUCAGCAGCUAGUCUGAUGAUAAAGAAGGCAUCCUUCAAGUCCAGGCAAGUGGUGAACCAGCCCUCCUCAGCCGGCAGCAAUCCCAACAGUGUGUAAUGGUUAGGAACAGUUGGGUGCAGAGUCACGAUAGCUUGGUUAACCAAGCAUAAGUCCUGUAUGGGUCAAUAGUCCUUGGUCCCUGGCUUGGGGACAGGUAGGAGGGGGUGUUCCAUGCAGACUGGCAAGGAACUAUAAUUCCAAAAGCUUUCAAGCAUCUAAGAUGAGCCUGUAUUCCUUCAAGAGCUUCCCUGGGAACCAGAUACUGCUUUUGUCUGAUUGGCUGGACCCCAGGCUUAACUUCUUAUUCCCUACUUUAUGUUGGAAGUUCUGACAAAGAAGACAAA
This 7550-nucleotide long non-coding RNA is filed under the name Homo sapiens (human). RNAcentral describes it as "HSALNT0071030". Lineage: Eukaryota; Metazoa; Chordata; Mammalia; Primates; Hominidae. The record is from RNAcentral.